Molecule: long non-coding RNA, 1486 nt
Organism: Athene cunicularia (burrowing owl)
Lineage: Eukaryota; Metazoa; Chordata; Aves; Strigiformes; Strigidae
Exons: 3
Source: RefSeq, a predicted model, not a curated record
ACAAGAACAGUUUACAAACUUGUCAAAGUGGUUAUUUUGCCACUGCAGAAAAAUGAAGUAACUUGCUCAACACCACCACCCCUCCACAGAAGUAUGGUUUUUAAAAAACACCAGUCAAUACUUAAGUAAAAUUAAUUUUCUUUUAAAAAAAAAAAAAAAAUCACUUAUGAUAGUAAAUACAGGUCCAACUAAAGUUUUUCCAACCUCCUCCACAGCCCACCAUAAAAGACAGGAUUUGCAGGGAAAGAGCAAGUUUGGCUCAAAGGAAACCAUUUUUUGUUUUCUAAUUUGAUUAGAUUGCACUGAAAAAGUUGUCAGCAUAUUUAAAUGCCUGCCUCAGUGAACCUGAGCCUCAGCACCGGGUAAUAUAUAGAGUAAUACAUAAUGCCUUUGUAACAGUUUGCAUUUUAAACACACAGCUACCACUGGAUAGCACAGCAAACUAGAAAAUCAUUAGCUAUGACAAAAACUUCAACAAUAACUGUAUUGCUUAAUACUACAUUGUCAUAACAUGCAGCUACUAACAGAUCACUUACUGUAUUCAUGUACAGCAGAACAUGUUGAAAAAUCAAGUACUGUAGUUAAAUUUCACUACAAAAAUCAUCAGAAAAAGUUAGAAUAAAGCCAGUUUGUUUGGAUCUUUUAAUUACUACUCUUUUUCCAGUCCCCAAAGCAAAAACGCUCUGCAUAACUAUUUUAAAGAAUAAGAACAUGAGCUAGAAAUGUAGCUUUAUACCAAGCUAGGAAAAAAAAAAAAUCCUAAGGAAAAGGUGUAACAAACUGACUAGAAAGAGAUACAGACCUUAACAAAAUAACUGCAGUUUUGUCUACCGCUUUACAGAAUUUUAGAUCAAGAUGUUUAACAAAAAAAUGAAGGCAGGCAAAUACAUGUUCCAAACAUACUUAUGGUCCUCUUUACAGGCAGAAGAAAUAAAAUGGGAAAUCCAGAACUUCUAAACCCGUUCUGUGCUCUGCUACAAUACACACAAGUUUGGUUCAAAAGAACCAAGUCCUUUGUUUUCUUAACUGUUAAAUCAACAUCUGAGGAAACUUUAAGAGCUCGAAGUACAGUACAGGCAGCCAAAAAUCAAGUCCAUGAAUAUCUGUAUAGUGAAAACAGAUGCACAAAGAAUGAAAGGAUAAAUGAUGUUCAAAGUCUAACAGAAUAUACCAGUGGGCCUCCAAAACCUAAACCAAUACAGAUAUCCAGGAAAUCAAAACUAAGCAGGAAUUAUAUUACAGGAAAGGUUAGUUUGUACUGUUUCCCUCUUGCUAAUUCAGAAAGGUCAUGACCAAAUUACUAAAAAUACUGCAUUAUGCAUUUUUGCCCUUCCUGACUGUUUUGACUAUAGCAAAAGCCACUCUGUAUUAAAAAGAAAUCACAUAAACAUCACAAAGUACAAUUUACAGGUCAUGGGAAGAUAUUGCCAGAUCAAUUUUUAAAUAACUUGCAUUACUUUUAACAUUCUUGCUCUGACUGCAAAAC